Molecule: long non-coding RNA, 7399 nt
Organism: Triticum aestivum (bread wheat)
Lineage: Eukaryota; Viridiplantae; Streptophyta; Magnoliopsida; Poales; Poaceae
Exons: 18
Source: RefSeq, a predicted model, not a curated record
GUUCCUGUCCAGAGCUGUGCAGUCAGAUGUGUAUUGGGCAGAAAAAAAAAAUAAAGGUAGCCUAUCCUCUCGUUGCUUUCGCUCGCCUUUCUCUCGAGCGCUCUCUCUCUCUCUCUCUCUCUCGAUCCUCUCUCCACCUCUCGGCCGCCGGCCUUCCGGCCAUUGUCGGCGGUCUCCGGCUCCGCCCAACACUCCCUCGUGUUAUCCUUCAUCCGACCUAUCUGCUCCGCCAACUCGAUUCGACGCUCGCCUCCUUCUCUUGCGCUCGUGGCUAACCCUAGCCGCCACUAUCGCCGGCGCACGGUGCCGUCUUGGACGCCGGCGCGACUCCGACGCCUCCUUGCACUCCUCCUCGAUGCCUCCUGCCCGCUCUCCCGUGUCACCGAGGCCGUCAAGCGCGAGGGCAUGCACUCCCGGUGGCAGCGAUGAUUUCCGAUCUGCGCCAUCUUCAAGGGCGCGGAGCAACGGAGGUCGGCUCCUUCUUCUCCCCGGUCACGCGUCGGGAGAGGAGUCAGCCCCCUUGUGUUUCUGCGCCAAGGUCAGCAACGGGGACGCUCGUUGACCGUCCUCUUCUUCGCCAUGGCCUGUCGAGGCCGGCAAGGAGGUCUCCAGCAUGCUCGAGGCCGCCGCCCCCGAGCUCAAAGAGAACUCGUUGAAGAUAAUCCAUGCCACCGCGUGGCUUCGAUCUCCAUCAUCUGCGUCGUUCUCGUCCUAUUGGAGCGAGCUGGGACCAAGCUCGAACAGUUUGUCGUGGAAAGAGAAGAGUGAGACUAAUAAGAUGGAUAUAUUCAAUGACAACGGUGGGAUGAAGUCAGGAAGUCACUCAAUCUGGAUGUGCGAGCCAUUAUAAGUGUAGCUGUUUUCAUUGGCCGAAGUACCAUCAUGCCUGAUAUGCAUGGCUCUUGGCCACUGCAGGACAAUGCUUAUUGACAAAUUUUUGCUUUGGGAAACAUUUCCAUUAUGCUGCCUGAGAUGGAUUCUUCAUUAUGCUGUCUUUGAAUUCCCACCAAAUUCAGUCGCAGAAGCUCAAAUGCGAAGGACGUCAAACUUCCUGGUUACAUUGCAAAGUUUAGUUACUGUUUGGUCCAAGAAAGAGUUUGUUUAGUCAUAUUCAGUGGAGCAACAAGCUUAUAUCGCUGCAGCAAUAGGGUUAUGUUUGGAGAACAUGUCAAAAGAAGAAUUAGAAAUGAAUAGAGAUGUAUUAAAUUAUAUUCUUCAAGGAGUAAGCUGUAGGUUAGAGAGCCCAAUUGAUUUAGUCCGGAAGAUGGCAAGUGCUGUUGCAUUGACAUUUUCUAAAGUCGUUGAUCCAAAAAAUCCUCUUUACCUUGAUGAUGACUGUUAGAAUGUUGACUGGGAGUUCGGGGUUCUCUCUCCAAAGGAGAUCACAGCUCCUUCGCAUGAUGUAGAGUUUGGAAGCAAAUCAAAACCAUCCAUGUAAGAACUGGAAACAUGCUGGUGACAAAAAGGGAAAGACUAUCAAGCAUGAUAUUUCAGAUAACAGAGUAAAAAUCGUAGAGAUCAAGUCAAAACUAGAUUCUGAUGAAAUGUCUGGCGCUGCUAUAAAUCUUGAGGAACACUAUGACAAGGAAAGCAUUAACAUUGAUGCUUCCAGUGAUUCAUCCCUGGAGCGGUAUGAUCUGUCAGAUGAUGAUACUGAUUUGCAGAAGAAUUUCACACAUCUAAGUGAUCUUGCAGCUGCACUGCGAAAACCUGACGAUCUAGAUGGUGGUUGAAAGCGCUCUUAGUUCUACCGAAAAGCUUGUGAGAGCAUCACCUGAUGAGAUGCCACUGCUCGGGUGAUCUUGUUCAAGCACUGGUACAUGUUUGUUAUUCUGAUGUCGCGAUGGAAGGCGACAUAAGGCAUUAGUCGCUUUGCUGGCCAUAGAUAAAAUUCGACAAGAGAAGAAAUGUGUGCAGCAGAGGAACCAAGAUGCCAAAGGUUCAAAGCGGUGUUGUGCUGAAAAAACCAGGACAAUGUAAGAGGCUUAGCUUUGUGAGAGUAAUCCCAGGAUCUGUGUUGGCAAUGUCCUUUACUGGUGGUCUAAGAGUUUGAGACCCAAUAGAAUUUUUUUGGAUUUGGCGAGGUUCACGGAUGAUAUAAUUGAGUUACAUUUGAAUAGUCAGAGCUUAUAUGUGAUCCAGGGACCUCCUGGUCUAAAUGGAUUCCUAAUGCAUCAGAUAAUCCAAGCGGUGUUCAUAAGGAAGAGGCUCUGUCGAGUUGCGGCAGUCUUCUCGUUAGCACGAGAACGACCACAAGUCAUUCCAUGACCGUGGAUGCGAGUUCCUACAAGAAACCCAUUCUCGGUGCCCUGUGACUGGGUUUCUCUACGAGCAGUAUAAUCGAUAUCCGAUAGAAUACAAAAAUUACGGGACGAGGAGCUGCAACCGCAGCUUGCUGAGCUAUUGCAUGGCUUUGCAAGAACUAGGAAGCUAACGGGAGAGUCUCAUGAAUCAAGUGACAGAUAACGUUUGAGGCAAAUUCCUUCACCUGCCCUGCUGAUGGGAAAUUCUGCAAUGAUGCCCAGCGGCACGCCACUCUCAAGCUAGAGGUCAAGCUUAGGAACUGUAGGUCCUGCUUCGUGAGCUACGUCAGCGCUCAGAAAGCAUACAUCGAAACCCUUGAUGGCUGAUUGUCCAAGUUCAUCCUGACGGACACCAUUCGUUACUCCCGGGGGAUCUCCUCGAUCGCGCUCGACAGGGCCGGCGCUCUGCCCCUGGCGGUGAUAACGAGUGGUACACCAUGUUGUCGACAACCGGAUCCUCCUCAACACUGACUCCGGCAUAGGUAUUCCUAUGCUCUGCUCUGCUCUCUCUCUCUCUCUCUCUAAUGCCACUGGGCCGUGUUACUGUCCACUCGACGUAUAACUGAUGCUUCAAAUGUUAGGCAUGAUAUAAGUAAAUCCUGUUUCCUUUGAAGAGAUAGAUUUUCACAUGAAGGAUGGCAUUACGGCAGUAGGAACACUCUCUUGUGUUGUUUGAUGUAACAUGUCGGGUUUCCACUGGCAUUAUACAUAUUUGGGGCUGGCGAGCAAAUUUAUGGUGAACAAUUUUUGUAUACACCUUUACCCAGCUAGCAAAAAAAUAAUCUUUUCCAUUUAGUAUUCCUAUGUCAACACAACCAUGAGUGUAACUUCUUUUGGAAAUGAUGUUAUUUACUACAAUGCUACCCUCCCAUCUCCUCGGAUUGGAGGGUUAAACAGAAAAUUUGCAAGAGAAUGGUACACCAUGACGAUGUACACUGAAUUGAAGAUCCCCAGAAAGUGGAAAUCCGCCCGCUUCCAACUGAUGAUAAAAUUCUUGCAAUUGAGUAUCAAAUUGAUGGUAGUAAGCUCCAAGAAGAAGAGGUGCAUUGUGCUCAUCAGCCUGAGAAAAGUGUAACAUCCAACCACAAUCUAGAAAAUAGGCAUACAAAUUCGAAGAGGAAACCGAAAGAUGAAGAUGCAACAAUACUUGAGAGCUCAAGGGUUGAGUGCCCAACAUACCCAAAGAUGGCACCCGAUACGCGCCCGUAGCCAGAACCAACGAAGUUGCAGUACAAGAAGCUGGGAGAUUCAGAUCUCCUUAUCGUCGAGAUAACUCUUGGAACAAUGAUCUUUGGAGAACAAAGCACAGAUAUGGAAUCACAUGAUAUGCCCUCUUAUUCUUUUGGUCAGGGCAUCAACAUACUCGACGCCGUAGAAAUUGUUACCCAAUCCAACCCAAGAAGAAGACUCAAGGGAGGACUGAUCUAUAUGUAGGCAGGUAGACGAAAUCCAAGAUAAAGUACCCUAAACCGACCUUAUUUGUUUACAGUUUCCGCGUCCAUUUGUACUUCCCUGAUUUCCACUUCACAUGCUUCCGAAUCCAUUUGUAGUUCCCUGCCCACUAUGUUUCCGACCAGAUAAUUUUGGCCACCAAAAUUUAUGGUUAUUUAGAUCGCAAUUUUCUUUGGGAUAAUACAAAAAAGGUGUGUGUUGAUGCUCCCAAUAUAAAGAGUCAGACUUUUCUCAUAAAAAAUCAGGGAGAUAAAAUUUCUUUUGGAAUGUUACCAGUUUGGCUUGCUUUUGUACUGAACCAAGAUGAAGAUGAAUCAAGAUGGAUGAUGUUUACCAAACUGAAGCUUCAAAUAUGAGGCUUGAUGAUCGUGUUUGUGUUGUGUGACGUUACAAUGCUGGGUUCUUAGAUGUUAUGAAGUUUCAAAGUGUUCUACUGCUACCUAUUUCCUACUCGCUCCGUUUCUUUUGUAAGGCAUAUUUUGAUUUGUUCAGAUAAUACUUUGAAUAAUAAUUCAGAAAGUAUGUUAUGAACAUAUUCUAAAAAAUAGUCUUGGUGUAAAUUGCAAAUUGGUUUCCAUCUAAUGGCAGCUCUCCCUCCCUUUUUCAUCCAUCUUUUUGUAGAUGGCAGGGUAAUGUAUCAUACAUUCACACUGGAAUUGAUUCUGUUCAAAGUGUAUUCACUUUUUUCUUUCUUUCUUAUUGAUCCAUCAAGGAAUGGCUGUAAUGAAUAUUUUAUAUCUCUACAUCCAAGAGAGCAAAGAGAUCCUAAUGUUUUAGUGUAUGUCCAUAUUAAUGUAUGAGGUGAGACUGAGGAUCAAAUAUGGCAGCCGAAUAUGCGGAGACAAGAUAAGUGCGCAAAGGCCCGCCUCAGGAGGCGCCACAAGGUGGCGCCCCAAUCUCUAGUACAACCCAAUAACGGUGGCGCAAAGAGCGCAUCCUGGCGACGUCCACGUCGGAUUAGCUAGAAGACAAAGAGGUUUACUUCGACAAGAAAGAGAGAGAGGGAUUGACCAGCGAUGAGAGAAAGGGAUUGGCCCCCAGUCCCCAUUCCCCGAUUCUUCUCCCUCUCCCUUGUCGCCGCCGCCGCCAUCGGCGACCUCCCUGCAGCCGCCGCCAUCAGCCACGCCCUCCCCAACGGCUGACUCUCCCACCCUUUUUCUCCUCACCAUCAACGACCUCUCCUCCCCCUCGCACCAGAUCGAGCAACAUGUCGGGCAGGGCAGAGCGGAGCAGAGAUGGGAGGAGACGGGCAGACGGCGGCGGCGGCGUCCUCCUCGCCCAUCGGCGCGCAACACCUGUCAGAGCCCCGUCGGCUCCGUCGAUCUGCCAGACCUAGGUCGCCGGUGUGGCUGCUGUCUCAGGCGAGAAGAGGAGUGGUCGCGUUAAGACACGGGGAGGGGGAGCAGCCAACCGUGCUCAAGGCCGUCCGUGGCGGCUGCAAAUCGAGGCGGCGGCUACAAAUUGAAGGUCAGUGCACGGCGGCCCUCUCUCCUUCUCAUCCCCUCUCGCUCGAGAGAAAGUUGCGGACAUAUUGGCGGUGGCCUGUCCGCGGCGUCGUCCUCAGCCAGAGAAGGGGAGAGGAGGGAGAGGGAGAUGGUGAGUCCACGGAGAAGCGCCACCGGGAGCAGAUCCGGCCAUCGGCGGCAAGAAAGGCCACGCCCCCCUCUACCUCCGUACCGUCACCCAGGUUCAGGCAUAGCAUACUGAUGCAAUUGAGGUGCAUCCGCUGGUGCCGAACAAACAACAUAAAAGCCAUCUUCAGCACCAAACCAUCUAUGCAUCGAUUGGUUAAUUAUCAAGUGGUCUUUGUUCUAUCAGUUUAUUUGUUGUUAGUCUAACAUUUAGUGAAGUGCCAAGACUGAUUAUUAAUUAUUAAUUAGCAACGAAAAACUCCAUGUUUAUAUGUAUACUUUUUUAUGAUUGACACCAACAUGUUUGUUUGCGUCAAAUUCAGCAUGAUUUUCUUACUGGCAAGUCUCCAUCUUCUUCAAACUAUAUAACACAAUCAGAUCUUUACUUUCAACAUUCACCCAACUGGACACUGUUAUUUCUAUUGCAAAAAAGAAAGGAUUUUGUCGUGGAAUGUUCCAGUCAAUUGUUGAAAUGUACUGAAGAAUAUUUUGUUAUCGACACUCCCUUUUCCUAUGUAGUAGACGCCUCUAGUAAUUGUGGCACACAGCUGCAUAUUACUCAUGCAACUAGAAGUUCAUUUGUGUGAUAAUGUUUGCUUAUGUUUACAUGCCCAGUUGACAAAUAUUCCAAAACUUAUAUAGGGUGUUACUUUUCCUUGGUUGCUCAGUGACUGAAUGAACUGGUGCGUUCUACUAUGGCUGGAAGUAGGCAAGGUGGACUAAUCGCGGGAGCUUCGGCUGCAAUGAUGUUUGCUGGAUUGAAUGGUUACUUGGAAAGUACUGGUCAAAUCAUGGAAGUCUCGAAGAAGAUACUAAAAGAGUAAAAAACUGUUUGAAUAUCGUGCUUGAAAGGUUUCUAAAAAGUACACACCGAUCUGUAUAAGGACUGACGCUAGCAGGGGUUUGCCGAGCAUUUUCCAAAUAAAAAUGUUUCUAUACAAGCCUUUGUGAUGCGGGUUGAGGAGGAAGAUGACUCGGAAGAGGAAGAUCACAGAUCAUGAGCUAUACAAUACUAAUCCAUGGGUUUGCUCCUACUCCCCUCUUCCACCAGAUUUUCCCCAGUGAAUCAUGUAAUGGAGGACCAGUGCUUCAUCGAGUCCAUCCCGCCCCUUGGCACUGCCAUUGGCGUCUUCAACAACCUCGCUGAGUACGACGUAGCAUGCUUCGACGCAUAAAGGAUUAGGGUGCCGACACAUCGUCGCCAGCCGCAGGGUUGUGACACCUUGCUAGGUGCUCGCCGUGUCCUACAUCUCUGUAGGAACACGCCAGGCAGGAGCUCAGGCCCAUAUCCUUGCUCAAGUGCUUCCGAGUGAGGAAGACUGCGAGGGGUUGGACAUGCAAUGGCCUAGCGGAGUCGUCCGCGGCGCGCGGCCGCCGGUAUGGAGGCCCAGGCUCGGGCUUAACUCAGCAAGCUUUGGUGCUUAUUUAUUAAUAAUCAUGGGUUCUGACCAUGUCAGUAGCGUCCCCUUGUCGUCGACGGCGGCUCAGGAUCAACUGGGAGUUGAAUACUUAAGUGGUUCAGGAAAGCUUCAAAUGCAAUAGUGGCAAACAUCUCCAUUGAUGCUACAAAGCAUCUCGAUGAUUUUGAAGCGAAUCUCCAUGUUAAUUAGGGAGGCCACUACACCACGUUUUUACAAAUAAUUAAAACCUAAGCUUGCAUCUUUGGAACUUGGCUGAGUUGUAUAUCCACUCGAUGAGGCAAUUAUGAUAGGAGCAAAGCGGUGUUGUGAAUUCAAUAGAAAAUGACGCAAGCAACUAUAUAUGUCAAUGCAAUAACAAAGUUAAGUCGGUGCAAAAAGAAUAGGAUGUGAGAGCAAUUAAAAAGACAAGUUACAAUGGAAGUGAGCGAGCCAUAAAUUGAGCCAUUUUUUAUGAAUACAAAUGGAGAUUAUGCAAUCAAAAUUAUUGAGGCGGAAAUCUUAUCAUGUCGUGGCGAGGAAAAGCUAAAUAAGCAGUUGAUGCCUCAAAAAAUACCCAUACAAGAUAGUUUAAUGGUUAAUUACGUACCUAAUA